RNAcentral lists this ribosomal RNA (253 nucleotides) under uncultured bacterium. RNAcentral's name for it is "partial 16S ribosomal RNA". It matches the Rfam family "Bacterial small subunit ribosomal RNA", at positions 524 to 776 of the family's 1533-position model. The record is from RNAcentral.
UACGGAGGGUGCAAACGUUGCUCGGAAUCAUUGGGCGUAAAGCGCACGUAGGCGGUCUGUUAAGUCGGAUGUGAAAGCCCCGGGCUCAACCCGGGAAGUGCAUACGAAACUGGCGGACUUGAAUAUGGAAGAGGGUCGCGGAAUUCCCGGUGUAGAGGUGAAAUUCGUAGAUAUCGGGAGGAACACCAGUGGCGAAGGCGGCGACCUGGGCCAAUAUUGACGCUGAGGUGCGAAAGCGUGGGGAGCAAACAGG